Molecule: ribosomal RNA, 137 nt
Filed under: Cladosporium halotolerans
Lineage: Eukaryota; Fungi; Ascomycota; Dothideomycetes; Cladosporiales; Cladosporiaceae
Description: partial 18S ribosomal RNA
Rfam family: Eukaryotic small subunit ribosomal RNA
Source: RNAcentral
GCUCGGUGAGGCCUUCAGACUGGCCCAGGGAGGUCGGCAACGACCACCCAGGGCCGGAAAGUUGGUCAAACCCGGUCAUUUAGAGGAAGUAAAAGUCGUAACAAGGUCUCCGUAGGUGAACCUGCGGAGGGAUCAUU